Bubalus bubalis (water buffalo) is the source of this 1825-nucleotide long non-coding RNA. RefSeq lists it as uncharacterized. NCBI's taxonomy places the organism in Eukaryota, Metazoa, Chordata, Mammalia, Artiodactyla, Bovidae. The record is from RefSeq and is a predicted model, not a curated record. The transcript has 3 exons.
GCAUCACGAUGCUUUUGUUCUUACACAAUCUCCUGGAUGGAAUCAGGUGUGCAAGCACAAACACUCAGGCUGGGAUUGUGUGCUUCCUUAUUGGUUCAUGUGUCCUAAGAACGUGCUCUUGGCAGAUAAAUGUUUCCUUGCAUAGAAACAGAAACAGCAAAACAUUAGCACGAGGUCGAACAAGCCCUUCUUCUCAAAGGCCACAGACACAGCUAGAUUCUGAAGAUGACUGACACAGGAGAACAGGUUAGCGCCUUGGCUCUGGACACGCGGAGAGCUGUCCACCUUGGGGGUGGCGGCUGCAGCCCCUUCUUCAGGAACAGAGAGGUGAUAUUUCAUAACCGAAUCGCGGGUAAAGACGCCAAAGCUGAAUGGCCAGUGAAACCCUGCGGGGUUGCUUGCUCCGUGUGAGCAACGGAUCUCCCUGACUUGUGAACCGGAUGCAUCAGCUUGUCGCGUGUGCGGGCCGACACGCUGUUCCCCACGGUCCCAGCCUGCUUCCCGCCUGGGUGCCCUAGCUGAAGCAGGGCUGCUUGCUUUUUCUCGGUUGUUCCCCAUGGUUUUCUGGGUGACGUGAACUUGGUCGCAGGGCCUGGGCCCCCGUCAGAUGGACAUGGGCUGGUUUCCUGUCUUGUGCUGCUCUUGUCCCCCUGCAGCCAGGGGCAGAGACAGACCACGUGCUCCCGGACGUGGCCCUUAAACAGUCAGACCUGCCUGUUGACAGGAAGUUAGCAUGUCAUGGUAGCAUGUUAACAUGUCAUGCCACGUCAACCUAGCACAAACACGGGACCACGUCCUAAAAACUCUUAUCAAAGAGGAAGGCGUCAUGAAUCACAAUUCUGGAAAGCUAUUUUGGUUGACAUUGGGCUGGUAUUACUCAUUACUUGUGGGCGGAUAUCAGAGACGCAAAAAUCCCAUCUUCCCCUGAGGGCUGUACUACUUUCCAUCCCGUGGUGGGAAUGUCUCAGCUACAAAUACGUGCGUGCUAAGUCGCUCAGUCGUGUCUGGCUCUGUGUGACCCCGUGGACUGUAGCCCCCAGACUCCUCUGUCCAUGGGAUUCUCCAGGCAAGGGUGGGUUCUCUACCACCAGCGCCACCUGGAACCUGUGAAGCUUCAGCACAGGCACACGGCGCGGUGAGCCCAAGGUGACGAAAGGGUUUGGAAGAGAAGAGACUUCCAGGAGUUUCCGAGAUGAAGGUAGCUUUCUGUUUCCGGAGGGACACGGACUCUGCUCAAAGGUCUGACCUCGCGGCAUCAGAGCAUUCAAGGAGGAGAAAUGCUCUUUGGGGCAGCGAUGGACACUGUCUGCCUUCACCGUGUCCUCACAAAUAUGAGAAGCAGAGGACAGAGAGAGGCUGGUGGCGCCCGUGUAAGUCAGCCACUGAACCUGGGCCCCUCACAAGCUUGCCACCUGCCCGGAACUUGGGGCUGAAUUACGAGCACCUGUGACUGAGCUGACCCGUCACCUGCUGCUGUUCUGCAGUGCCCACUCCUAGUUUGUGAGCUCAAAGCAAGGACGCGAUAAAGACGACCUGCUGUCACUGCUUUGUCCCCCUUUGGGAAUUUCUAACACAAGCUUCCCUGGUGGUUCAGAGGGUAAAGCAUUUGCCUGCAAUGCAGGAGACCUGGGUUUGAUCCCUGGGUCUGGAAGAUGCUCUGGAGAAGGAAAUGGCAACCCACUCCAGUAUGCUGGCCUGGAGAAUCCCAUGGACUAUAUAGUCCGCAGGUUUGCAAAGAGUUGGACACGACUGAGUGACUUCACUUUCUUUUCUUUUUCUAUCUAACACACGUUCAUUUCAGGUCUCGGACUUUUGUGCCACUGCG